Non-coding RNA from Zonotrichia albicollis (white-throated sparrow), 5629 nucleotides. Lineage: Eukaryota; Metazoa; Chordata; Aves; Passeriformes; Passerellidae. The record is from RefSeq and is a predicted model, not a curated record.
ACGGAGCGGGACGAGACAGGACGGGAGUGGAGAGAUUGUUAGACGGAGACGGGGACGGAGUGCGAGCGAAAAGUCAAGCGGAAAACCGAUCGAGAGAAGCGCUGCUGCUGCUGCUGCGGAGCCGCCGGAGCUCGCGGCCGUUCCGUCCCGCUGAACGAAAGAAAGAAAGAAACAAAUAAAAACCCAAAGCAAUUCCUAUGGGAGACGUAACCAGAGGUCCUGACAAUGGUGUUCCAGCACCUCACCACCUUCACAGUGAAGAGGUUUUUUUCUGAAUAUCUAGUUUAAACCUACUCUUUUGGUUCAUUUUAAAGGCAGUGCUACUGCCUAAGCAGGUUUCCUUUCUUCAGCUGAGGGCUGAAAGGAACUGAAGGCUCCAUGAGCUCCCCAUACCAUUGUCCUCUUACCAUCCUUUAUGCAGCGAGCAGGCAGAGAAACAAGUGGUUGUAGUGAAAAAAUGUGGUUUUUCCAACAGCAAUGUGAGCUGUUCGUUAUGCACACGCAGAACUAAGUGUUCAUUGCAACUUGUAAAUAUCCUGCUCCACCAAGCGUCUGCAAUUGGAUCUGCAAUUCUGGGAAGGACACGAAGAGGUUUUGCUGUGAUCCCCUCUGCCUGUGACUGCAAACGGAUCGUGUCUUUCCCCAUCCCGGUUCAGGUGGCAGGGGAACAAACUACCUCAAGGUACGAAAGGAAAAUUACUUGAAACAUUUGGCUACAGUGCUGGAUGGUGUUCUGAGGAGAAAGAUGGAUGACAUAUUGACAUAACGGGAAUGAGGCAUCUACACACACCCCUCAAAAACACAGCUGGAGCACCAAUGGAACUUGGCAAUUUCAGGUUUUUCUUCUAAAUCUUUCCUCAGUUCCAUGAUGGGGCACAAAAUAUUUUUUUCGUGAUAUUCCAUAACGUUGUGAUUGCUUACUUUUUAUAUACAAAAAGGCAGAACAGCUGUGGCAAAAUAAGUCUCCUCAAAAAAGUGUUCUCUGAUUAAGAUUUUCUGAAAUAUUAAAAAUGUAAAAACUCUAUCAUAGUAUUUUCUUCUAAUAUUGAAGAUCUUCCCCAGCAGAGCACAGUUAUGUACAGAUAGUGCAAUAUGUACUCCAUCCUCACACUGGGAAGGUUUUACACAGAAACCCCAAAACAGCUUUCACACCAUAAAAGAUAGGAACUGUGUCUCUGAUAAGGUUUUCUUCAGCUAUGAUAAAAAAAAAAAAAUAAGAAAAUAUUUUCAUUACCUGUGCCCCAGCAUGGAGGAGCAAAAAGAGGAGCAAAAAUGCAUCUGCCUCACCCACCUUGCUGGGCAGCUGAGCAAAGCAGCUGCCACAAGGCAGAGCUGAUUCAAAGCACAGACUCUCAGGCUGAGGGUGGAUCUGUCAACUCUUGCACAAAGACACAAAAGGAGAAAUGAAGAGGUGUCCUUUCCUUGAAAUUCCCAGGAAGGCUAAGAGAAGCGCUAUAAACGGGCUUCUAACACUCAACCCACAAACACAGAUGCAAAAGGAACUGCUGCAAACUUGCACCUGUAUUUAAGAGGAUAAAUCAAUGUAAUUUUUUAUCAGACACCACCGUGAAUUGGAAAAAAACCCUAAACCACUAUUUAAUUUUAAGCAAAAUCUUUAUUUUAUUUUAUAGGCUUGUUUGUAUCAAAAGCAGUUAUUUCCAAAUCAAAUUCACAUAAAAUUCAGCAUGUAAAUAGGCUGAAGUUGUCAUUGAUUAAGAUCCAUUGCUGAAAGAUGAGGGCUCUGAAUGAUAUUUUAACAGCUUUGUGGGGGAACAAAUAAAACGGUGAGGUAUGUGAUCCCAUUUUGUGUCUUUCAGUUUUCAUGGGGUUAAUUAAGGUUAUCUUGAGUGUGGCUUUGCGCUCAUCCUAGACCAUAAUGGUAAACUUGUAAAUAUCACCAAAAUACAUAUAAUGAGAGGGUUUUUUUUUCUGUCUAAUGGGACCACACACAAGGCAAACCCGGAUAAAAUGUUGCUUGUAACUUAAAUGUACCACAUGAGCUCAUAAAGCUUAGUGUUGAACUGUUGAUGUUUUGCAGUAGGAAUAUUUUAAAUGAAGAGACAUUUCUCCUAAAAGGUGGCAUCUCUUUUUCCUUCAUGAGCUGGGUUUAAGGAAAUAAUUUUAUGACCUCAUUCUGGACCUUAAAACCUGUGUCUAGGUGAGUCCUAUAUAGGAAAUUCACAAAAUUCAGACAAAAGCGGUGUUUUUCCCAUGUGCAUGGAUGAUGAAGUAUGUUGAGGUUUUUUUGCUAUGUUGCAAUAUUUAGUUUUUUAUAGGAAUGGUAAGAAAUAUUAUUUCCUAUUAAUAACAAUAUGUGUAGCUUGAUUUCUUACUUUAGAGAUGUGAUUGGCUUUGGUGUCAAGGAUAAUGAGAGUUACUUUAAUGUCAAGCUUUUCUAAUAUGCAACAAAUACUCGGUGUCUCUACCACUGGUCAGAAGCUGUUAUUUUUGUAUGUUUUGAGAAGAACUGUAGGUUAUUUGUCCUUCCUCUUGUGGAUAAAAUUGUUGUGUUGCAAGUGUUGAUCCAAGAAGCAUCUCUAGUUCUGCAAAGGCUGGCAUUGAGGUUUAGGUGAGAAGGGACUGCUGGAGAUUUUUUGUCCUGUCAUCUGCUGGGAGUGAGGCUAGCUCCAAAGCUACAUCAGGUUGCUCAGGGCCUUGUCCAGUCAGUUUUGAGCACCCAGAGGGAUGCAGGACCUUUAAUCUUGCCCUUUCCCAUGCUGGUUACACUCUGGCCAGUACAGCCUAGCAUGUGACCGGCCUUCCUCAUCACAAGGGUGCAGUGUAGCACCAUUGUCAAGAGAACUGACAGUUCCCAGGAUGCAGAAGCUCCUGGGAAAUACAUCAGAGGCUCUGGCUCUGGCAGAUGCCAAGUGAUUUGGGCUGUAAACAGAUCCUUGGAAGGAGAAAAAGGGGAUGAAGAGAAAUUAGCAUGGGGUUCCUAGGCAUUUGUCAGUGUGUAUCUGAACAUCUGUGCUAAGUGCUCUGAAGAUUAGCUCUUCUUUUGCAUUUUGCUUGCAAAGAUGUACUAAAUGUUCAGAAGCAGCAAUUAAUUUGCAACCAUGCAGCCCAAUGUUAGGAGUCAUACUCUCAUAGCACUAAUAACAGGGAACCUGCAAGCUAAACCACACUCUCAUGCAUUUUUCACUUCCCAGUCUGCAUUGGGUUUGUGGUUUUAUAGUGCUGUUUGUGAGAAUAAGUACAGGAACAUGAACCUGGCUGUAUAACCCAGGGAAGAGCUGGCAGGCAGUUUUGCCAAGGUGAGCAGGGGCACAGCUGCUGCUCAUUUCUCAGGGUGUCACAGAUAAAGACCUGCCUUUAUCCUGCAGCAUUGCCAUUGCCUUCAGAAAGCUUUGGCUCUGUGACUUUGAAUGUUCUAUUGGGAAGAAGCUGAAGAUCACAAAAGACAUACAGCUCCUACUGCAUAUUGUCCAGGAAAUGGAGACCUUUCACAUGCUUGGGGUUUUGUGUAAAUGUCAUGAUGCUCUGUGACAUUCAUCAUCUUCAGGUUUGCUUUAUUCCAAAGAUUCUCUGCUUCCGUGGUCUGAUCCUAUGCAGCCUGGGGAAGUCUGAAUCCUUUACUUGUCCCGUGGAGGUUGUUGUGGCUUGUCUUGCAAGCUGUGGCAGUGCAAGGUAACAAGAAAUGAGUUUGUUGCAUGGGCCACACUCACAAAUAUUCUUUACAAGGCAUGGUAACAACAGAAAGGAGAAAGAGGGAAGGAUGACCUAGGCAAGCUUAAAGCAUGGCCAGGAAAAUAAAGCAAUAAUCUUUCUUGGCUGAGGUGUACAGAGGUCUUCCUUGCAGAUUUACUAGCAGGCUUUCACCAACCCCCCUUGGCAGGAAGGAUCUCAGACCAGAAAACAGCAGUCUGCAUUUUCCUUUCUGUUCCUGUAUUUUGGAAUAUCCAGCUCACCCCCUGAUCUGCUUUUAGGUGUUUCCUUUCAGCCCUCACUCUCUCAUUUAGCCUCAGAGUUGAGCCAAGCUAAUAGUGGGCUGCUUCAAUUGGGCACUUCAAACCAUCUGCUCCUUUAUUUCAUUUCUUGGCUGAAGAGAAGCCCCUUCUGUAGGACUGGUCUUCAGUAAGUGUUGAUCAAUCUCACCCAGUGCAGGAAUCUGAUGGCAGUAUGGUGAAGGUGAGACAGCCCCACAGAAUGGCAGGAGAAUCUUAUGUCAGUUUGCACUUAUCAUCCUUCCCUUGUCCCAUCCUUUCCUGAUCUUAUUUACUCUGUUGGGCCAUCCUAAGCAAAAUAUUUCCUUGUGAAGGUGGAGGUGAGGAAGGGAGUUCAUCAUCAUGAAUAGCUGGCACCAUCAGUAAGACUUCCACUUGUCAUGAACAGAACCAGGCUACUCUUCUUUUCUUUCCCCUCUUUCAAAGCCAAGUGUAAUCCUUCCUCAUAUACUAGGAAGAGUGGAUUGCAAAAAAUGGCCAAUUUUCCCAUUUUCUGAGUUUGAAAGCCAUUAAGAAUCAUGGAACAGGGAAAGGAUAGACCUUUUAAAGUUUCCAAAGGAAAAGCUCGCUUCAGAAUUGCCUUUUCAACCUGGGAAGUUUUUUCUGCCAUGGGAAGGGUUUUCAUUUGCAGACUGGUGGAAGGCUCAAGCAACCCAAAAAUGGUUUUUUUUUGAUCCAUCUUCCAUGGAUCAUAUUGCCUUUGAUCCAUGGAAGAAUACCAAGGUUGAAAAAGCUGGAUCCAUAUUCCUUGCUUAACUGAUGCAAAGAACUCCUUAGGUUAGAAAUGUUGGGGAGUUAGGUUAGGGUCCAUUUAUGCCAUUUAGGAAGUUAUGAAGUUGGGGAGUUUAAAUUCCAUUUGGAGGUUCAGGCUACUGAGUAGAGCCGUGAUGCUUGACAUGCUUAGAUGUUUUAUUAUUUGCAGCUGGCAUCUGAAGUGUCAGUGGUGCUGAGUUCUGCACGGACAGAACAGGUUGAACACCUAACCUUCAUAAUGUAAAUCCUGAUACACUUGAAAAGCAGUCUGGCAGUGAUCCAGUGAAACUCUGCUGAUUGGAACAAAUCAUCUGCCAUUUGUUAGCUCACCUCUCUUUCUUUGGGUGUCUUAAGGUACUGCUUUUCUCUCUUUCAUUUUAAGGAGAGGUGGAAGAUGCCUAAAAGUCUUUAAAUUCUUUGUAUUGUAAAAUAGUGUUAUGUGAUAAGAGUCCCAAAGUCCUUGUUUAGUCAAAGCCUCUUGGUAUUGAGAGGAGAUUCUUUGGUAAAGAAAGACUUUGCCAAAAGGUUUGUCAAGCAUUGGAGCAGGGUGCUCAGGGAAGUGGCUGGGUCACCAGCCCUGGGGUGUUUAAAAGAUGUGUGGAUGUGGCCCAUAAGAACAUGUUUUAGUGGUGGACUUGACAGUGUUAGAUUAAUGGUUGGGCUGGAUGGUCUUAAUGGUUUUUUUCCAACCAAAAUGAUUCCAUGAAACUGCAAAACCAAAUGUGAUAAUAUUAAACGUAAAUGUAUUUUCACCUUCAGCAAUAUUUUUAGAAGUACAUCUAGCCUGAAGCAGUUUCCUGCUCUUUUUGAGAGCUGGAUAUGUGUUUUCCCAUGUGUUUUGCAGCAUUACUUUAAAGCUUAUUUCUGGUGAGUUUGAGAUGCGGUUAUUGAGAUCUCCUGGAGUGGAAAAUAAACUAUUUUCUGUGUUA